GACGAACGCUGGCGGCGUGCUUAACACAUGCAAGUCGAGCGGUAAGGCCCUUUCGGGGGUACGACGAGCGGCGAACGGGUGAGUAACACGUGGGUGACCUGCCCUCAGCUCUGGGAUAAGCCUGGGAAACUGGGUCUAAUACUGGAUAUGACUCCACGGUGCAUGUCGUGGGGUGGAAAGCCUUGUGCGGCUGAGGAUGGGCCCGCGGCCUAUCAGCUUGUUGGUGGGGUGAUGGCCUACCAAGGCGACGACGGGUAGCCGGCCUGAGAGGGCGACCGGCCACACUGGGACUGAGACACGGCCCAGACUCCUACGGGAGGCAGCAGUGGGGAAUCUUGCGCAAUGGGCGAAAGCCUGACGCAGCGACGCCGCGUGAGGGA
RNAcentral lists this ribosomal RNA (380 nucleotides) under uncultured bacterium. RNAcentral's name for it is "bacterial SSU rRNA". It matches the Rfam family "Bacterial small subunit ribosomal RNA", at positions 28 to 408 of the family's 1533-position model. The record is from RNAcentral.